GCCCCCGUAGCUCAAAGGAUAGAGCGAUGGGUUUCUAACCCAGCGGUUGCAGGUUCGAGUCCUGCCGGGGGUACCA
Molecule: transfer RNA, 76 nt
Filed under: Candidatus Berkelbacteria bacterium
Lineage: Bacteria; Candidatus Berkelbacteria
Description: tRNA-Arg
Rfam family: tRNA
About the family: Transfer RNA (tRNA) molecules are approximately 80 nucleotides in length. Their secondary structure includes four short double-helical elements and three loops (D, anti-codon, and T loops).
Source: RNAcentral